RNAcentral lists this ribosomal RNA (253 nucleotides) under uncultured bacterium. RNAcentral's name for it is "partial 16S ribosomal RNA". It matches the Rfam family "Bacterial small subunit ribosomal RNA", at positions 524 to 776 of the family's 1533-position model. The record is from RNAcentral.
UACAGAGGUCUCAAGCGUUGUUCGGAUUCAUUGGGCGUAAAGGGUGCGUAGGCGGCGCGGUAAGUCGGGUGUGAAAUCUUGGAGCUUAACUCCGAAACUGCAUUCGAUACUGCCGUGCUUGAGGACUGGAGAGGAGACUGGAAUACUUGGUGUAGCAGUGAAAUGCGUAGAUAUCAAGUGGAACACCAGUGGCGAAGGCGAGUCUCUGGACAUUUCCUGACGCUGAGGCACGAAAGCCAGGGGAGCAAACGGG